This 465-nucleotide ribosomal RNA is filed under the name Vreelandella stevensii. RNAcentral describes it as "partial 16S ribosomal RNA". It matches the Rfam family "Bacterial small subunit ribosomal RNA", at positions 338 to 795 of the family's 1533-position model. Lineage: Bacteria; Pseudomonadati; Pseudomonadota; Gammaproteobacteria; Oceanospirillales; Halomonadaceae. The record is from RNAcentral.
CCUACGGGAGGCAGCAGUGGGGAAUAUUGGACAAUGGGGGCAACCCUGAUCCAGCCAUGCCGCGUGUGUGAAGAAGGCCCUCGGGUUGUAAAGCACUUUCAGUGAGGAAGAACGCCUGGUGGUUAAUACCCAUCAGGAAAGACAUCACUCACAGAAGAAGCACCGGCUAACUCCGUGCCAGCAGCCGCGGUAAUACGGAGGGUGCGAGCGUUAAUCGGAAUUACUGGGCGUAAAGCGCGCGUAGGUGGCUUGAUAAGCCGGUUGUGAAAGCCCCGGGCUCAAACUGGGAACAGCAUCCGGAACUGUCAAGCUAGAGUGCAGGAGAGGAAGGUAGAAUUCCCGGUGUAGCGGUGAAAUGCGUAGAGAUCGGGAGGAAUACCAGUGGCGAAGGCGGCCUUCUGGACUGACACUGACACUGAGGUGCGAAAGCGUGGGUAGCAAACAGGAUUAGAUACCCUUGUAGUC